This 525-nucleotide ribosomal RNA is filed under the name uncultured bacterium. Its description in RNAcentral is "bacterial SSU rRNA". It matches the Rfam family "Bacterial small subunit ribosomal RNA", at positions 984 to 1509 of the family's 1533-position model. The record is from RNAcentral.
ACAUCCAGAGAAUUUAGCAGAGAUGCUUUAGUGCCUUCGGGAACUCUGAGACAGGUGCUGCAUGGCUGUCGUCAGCUCGUGUUGUGAAAUGUUGGGUUAAGUCCCGCAACGAGCGCAACCCUUAUCCUUUGUUGCCAGCACGUAAUGGUGGGAACUCAAAGGAGACUGCCGGUGAUAAACCGGAGGAAGGUGGGGAUGACGUCAAGUCAUCAUGGCCCUUACGAGUAGGGCUACACACGUGCUACAAUGGCGCAUCAAAGAGAAGCGACCUCGCGAGAGCAAGCGGACCUCAUAAAGUGCGUCGUAGUCCGGAUUGGAGUCUGCAACUCGACUCCAUGAAGUCGGAAUCGCUAGUAAUCGUAAAUCAGAAUGUUACGGUGAAUACGUUCCCGGGCCUUGUACACACCGCCCGUCACACCAUGGGAGUGGGUUGCAAAAGAAGUAGAUAGCUUAACCUUCGGGAGGGCGUUUACCACUUUGUGAUUCAUGACUGGGGUGAAGUCGUAACAAGGUAAGCGUAGUGCU